AUGCACCAAGCGCUAUCCCGGGAGAGUUUUACUACUCUCGUGGUCACACUCUGGGCCUUGUGGGGAGCGCGCAGAAAGGCGAUCCAUGAGCAAAUAUACCAAAGUCCACUUCAGGUACAUGCGUUUAUUCAGUCUUACAUAAGGGAACUGGAAGCUAUCAAAUCUGUUAAUACGAGCCAUGAUGGUAAUUCUAUUCCUCGUUCGACGAGCUGGAUUCCCCCACCAACAGGGCUGAAAAUACUGAAUGUAGACGCUGCAGUGGGGAGGGGAAGUAGACACGGCUCUGUAGCGGCAAUAUCAAGAGACUCGGCUGGCCUUUUUUUGGGAGCAUCGGCUGUGGUUUUUCCAGGCACUUCCGAUCCGGCCACUCUUGAAUGCAUGGCGAUAAGGGAGGCGUUGGCCCUUGCGGAUGAUCUGAAUGUUUCAACUAUACAAGUGGCGUCCGACUCGAAGGUGGUGGUCGAGGACAUCCGAGACAACAAUCCUACAGCGUAUGGUGCGAUCAUACAUGAAAUAAUAGAGCAUGGAUCAAAUUUCCUUUUGUGUAACUUUUGCCACGAAUUUAGGAGCUCGAAUAUCGAGGCUCACAAGCUCGCCAAGCAUGCUUUAUCCCUUCCGGCUGGCCGACAUGUUUGGUCGGGUCAGCCGGACGGACUCUCUUUCGUCCAUGUAAACAUUGUGACAUCAUAA
This 690-nucleotide ribosomal RNA is filed under the name Triticum aestivum (bread wheat). Its description in RNAcentral is "partial small subunit ribosomal RNA". Lineage: Eukaryota; Viridiplantae; Streptophyta; Magnoliopsida; Poales; Poaceae. The record is from RNAcentral.